AGUGAACGCUGGCGGUAGGCCUAACACAUGCAAGUCGAACGGCAGCACAGUAAGAGCUUGCUCUUACGGGUGGCGAGUGGCGGACGGGUGAGGAAUACAUCGGAAUCUACUUUUUCGUGGGGGAUAACGUAGGGAAACUUACGCUAAUACCGCAUACGACCUACGGGUGAAAGCAGGGGAUCUUCGGACCUUGCGCGAUUGAAUGAGCCGAUGUCGGAUUAGCUAGUUGGCGGGGUAAAGGCCCACCAAGGCGACGAUCCGUAGCUGGUCUGAGAGGAUGAUGAGCCACACUGGAACUGAGACACGGUUCAGACUCCUACGGGAGGCAGCAGUGGGGAAUAUUGGACAAUGGGCGCAAGCCUGAUCCAGCCAUACCGCGUGGGUGAAGAAGGCCUUCGGGUUGUAAAGCCCUUUUGUUGGGAAAGAAAAGCAGCAGGUUAAUACCCCGCUGUUCUGACGGUACCCAAAGAAUAAGCACCGGCUAACUUCGUG
This 492-nucleotide ribosomal RNA is filed under the name uncultured bacterium. Its description in RNAcentral is "partial 16S ribosomal RNA". It matches the Rfam family "Bacterial small subunit ribosomal RNA", at positions 29 to 507 of the family's 1533-position model. The record is from RNAcentral.